ACCGAUAGUGAACCAGUACCGUGAGGGAAAGGUGAAAAGCACCCCGGAAGGGGAGUGAAACAGUUCCUGAAACCGUGUGCCUACAAGUAGUUAGAGCCCGUUAAUGGGUGAUAGCGUGCCUUUUGUAGAAUGAACCGGCGAGUUACGAUUUGUUGCAAGGUUAAGCGGAAAAAGCGGAGCCGUAGCGAAAGCGAGUCUGAAUAGGGCGCAUAAGUAACAGGUCGUAGACCCGAAACCAGGUGAUCUACCCAUGUCCAGGAUGAAGGUAAGGUAAUACUUACUGGAGGUCCGAACCCACGCACGUUGAAAAGUGCGGGGAUGAGGUGUGGGUAGCGGAGAAAUUCCAAUCGAACUUGGAGAUAGCUGGUUCUCUCCGAAAUAGCUUUAGGGCUAGCCUCGAGGUAAAGAGUCAUGGAGGUAGAGCACUGUUUGGACUAGGGGCCCUUCUCGGGUUACCGAAUUCAGAUAAACUCCGAAUGCCAUGUACUUAUACUCGGGAGUCAGACUGCGAGUGAUAAGAUCCGUAGUCGAAAGGGAAACAGCCCAGACCACCAGUUAAGGUCCCCAAAUAUAUGUUAAGUGGAAAAGGAUGUGGGGUUGCUUAGACAACCAGGAUGUUGGCUUAGAAGCAGCCACCAUUGAAAGAGUGCGUAAUAGCUCACUGGUCGAGUGACCCCGCGCCGAAAAUGUACCGGGGCUAAACAUAUUACCGAAACUGUGGAUGAACCUCUUUAGAGGUUCGUGGUAGGAGAGCGUUCUAAGGGCGGUGAAGUCAGACCGGAAGGACUGGUGGAGCGCUUAGAAGUGAGAAUGCCGGUAUGAGUAGCGAAAGAAGGGUGAGAAUCCCUUCCACCGAAUAUCUAAGGUUUCCUGAGGAAGGCUCGUCCGCUCAGGGUUAGUCGGGACCUAAGCCGAGGCCGAUAGGCGUAGGCGAUGGACAACAGGUAGAGAUUCCUGUACCAGUGCUAAUUGUUUAACCGAUGGGGUGACACAGAAGGAUAGGGAAUCGCACGAAUGGAAAUGUGCGUCCAAGCAGUGAGUGUGAGAAGUAGGCAAAUCCGCUUCUCGCGAAGCAUGAGCUGUGAUGGGGAAGGAAAUUAAGUACGGAAGUUCCUGAUUUCACGCUGUCAAGAAAAGCCUCUAGGAAGAGUAGUACUGCCCGUACCGCAAACCGACACAGGUAGAUGAGGAGAGAAUCCUAAGGUGAGCGAGAGAACUCUCGUUAAGGAACUCGGCAAAAUGACCCCGUAACUUCGGGAGAAGGGGUGCUCUAUUAGGGUGCAAGCCCGAGAGAGCCGCAGUGAAUAGGCCCAGGCGACUGUUUAGCAAAAACACAGGUCUCUGCAAAACCGUAAGGUGACGUAUAGGGGCUGACGCCUGCCCGGUGCUGGAAGGUUAAGAGGAGUGCUUAGCUUCGGCGAAGGUACGAAUUGAAGCCCCAGUAAACGGCGGCCGUAACUAUAACGGUCCUAAGGUAGCGAAAUUCCUUGUCGGGUAAGUUCCGACCCGCACGAAAGGCGCAACGAUCUGGGCACUGUCUCAACGAGAGACUCGGUGAAAUUAUAGUACCUGUGAAGAUGCAGGUUACCCGCGACAGGACGGAAAGACCCCGUGGAGCUUUACUGCAACCUGAUAUGGAAUGUUUGUACCGCUUGUACAGGAUAGGUAGGAGCCGAAGAGACGUGUGCGCUAGCAUACGAGGAGGCAAUGGUGGGAUACUACCCUGGCUGUAUGACCAUUCUAACCCGCCACGCUUAGCGCGUGGGGAGACAGUGUCAGGUGGGCAGUUUGACUGGGGCGGUCGCCUCCUAAAGAGUAACGGAGGCGCCCAAAGGUUCCCUCAGAAUGGAUGGAAAUCAUUCGCAGAGUGUAAAGGCACAAGGGAGCUUGACUGCGAGACUGACAAGUCGAGCAGGGACGAAAGUCGGGCUUAGUGAUCCGGUGGUUCCGCAUGGAAGGGCCAUCGCUCAACGGAUAAAAGCUACCCCGGGGAUAACAGGCUUAUCUCCCCCAAGAGUCCACAUCGACGGGGAGGUUUGGCACCUCGAUGUCGGCUCGUCGCAUCCUGGGGCUGUAGUCGGUCCCAAGGGUUGGGCUGUUCGCCCAUUAAAGCGGCACGCGAGCUGGGUUCAGAACGUCGUGAGACAGUUCGGUCCCUAUCCGUCGCGGGCGCAGGAAAUUUGAGAGGAGCUGUCCUUAGUACGAGAGGACCGGGAUGGACACACCGCUGGUGUACCAGUUGUUCCGCCAGGAGCAUCGCUGGGUAGCUAUGUGUGGCAGGGAUAAACGCUGAAAGCAUCUAAGCGUGAAGCCCCCCUCAAGAUGAGAUUUCCCAUUUCUUCGGAAAGUAAGAUCCCUGAAAGAUGAUCAGGUAGAUAGGUU
RNAcentral lists this ribosomal RNA (2382 nucleotides) under Listeria monocytogenes. RNAcentral describes it as "partial 23S ribosomal RNA". It matches the Rfam family "Bacterial large subunit ribosomal RNA", at positions 483 to 2862 of the family's 2925-position model. Lineage: Bacteria; Bacillati; Bacillota; Bacilli; Caryophanales; Listeriaceae. The record is from RNAcentral.